GUCACCUACGGGAGGCAGCAGUGAGGAAUAUUGGUCAAUGGCCGGAAGGCUGAACCAGCCAAGCCGCGUGAAGGACGAAGGUGCCAAGCAUUGUAAACUUCUUUUGUCAAGGGACAAAAUCAGGCUCGAGAGCCUGACCGAUGGUACUUGAACAAAAAGCAUCGGCUAACUCCGUGCCAGCAGCCGCGGUAAUACGGAGGAUGCGAGCGUUAUCCGGUUUUAUUGGGUUUAACGUGUGCGUAGGCGGACUGUUAAGUCAGCGGU
RNAcentral lists this ribosomal RNA (264 nucleotides) under uncultured bacterium. RNAcentral describes it as "partial 16S ribosomal RNA". It matches the Rfam family "Bacterial small subunit ribosomal RNA", at positions 334 to 595 of the family's 1533-position model. The record is from RNAcentral.